GGGAAGGUGGCUCAGUGAUAGAGUGCUUGCCUUGCAUGCAUGAGGCCCUGGGUUCGAUUCCCCAAUACCA
This 70-nucleotide transfer RNA is filed under the name Dipodomys ordii (Ord's kangaroo rat). It matches the Rfam family "tRNA". Rfam says of the family: Transfer RNA (tRNA) molecules are approximately 80 nucleotides in length. Their secondary structure includes four short double-helical elements and three loops (D, anti-codon, and T loops). Further hydrogen bonds mediate the characteristic L-shaped molecular structure. tRNAs have two regions of fundamental functional importance: the anti-codon, which is responsible for specific mRNA codon recognition, and the 3' end, to which the tRNAs corresponding amino acid is attached (by aminoacyl-tRNA synthetases). tRNAs cope with the degeneracy of the genetic code in two manners: having more than one tRNA (with a specific anti-codon) for a particular amino acid; and 'wobble' base-pairing, i.e. permitting non-standard base-pairing at the 3rd anti-codon position. Lineage: Eukaryota; Metazoa; Chordata; Mammalia; Rodentia; Heteromyidae. The record is from Rfam by way of RNAcentral.